This 164-nucleotide ribosomal RNA is filed under the name Rugelia nudicaulis. RNAcentral's name for it is "5.8S ribosomal RNA". The stretch from base 1 to 145 matches the Rfam family "5.8S ribosomal RNA". Rfam says of the family: 5.8S ribosomal RNA (5.8S rRNA) is a component of the large subunit of the eukaryotic ribosome. It is transcribed by RNA polymerase I as part of the 45S precursor that also contains 18S and 28S rRNA. The record is from RNAcentral. Lineage: Eukaryota; Viridiplantae; Streptophyta; Magnoliopsida; Asterales; Asteraceae.
ACGGAUAUYUCGGCUCACGCAUCGAUKAAGAACGUAGCARAAUGCGAUACUUGGUGUGAAUUGCASAAUCCCGUGAACCAUCGAGUUUUUGAACGCAAGUUGCGCCCGAAGCCUUUUGGCCGAAGGCACGUCUGCCUGGGCGUCACACAUCGCGACGCCCCCAC